RNAcentral lists this non-coding RNA (65 nucleotides) under unclassified sequences. RNAcentral describes it as "RAGATH-18 RNA". It matches the Rfam family "RAGATH-18 RNA". Rfam says of the family: Actinobacteria, Firmicutes, Fusobacteria, Thermotogae (1 example). Nearby to self-cleaving ribozyme genes The record is from Rfam by way of RNAcentral.
CCUUUGGAGUGUUAAGACCACUUGAGUAGCUAGAAAUAGCAAAAGAGAACACGAUGAACAAGGAA